UGCAAGUCGAGCGGUAAGGCCCUUUCGGGGGUACACGAGCGGCGAACGGGUGAGUAACACGUGAGCAAUCUGCCCUUGACUUUGGAAUAACCAUUGGAAACGAUGGCUAAUGCCGAAUAUGACCCUCUUUCGCAUGUUGGGGGGUGGAAAGCUCCGGCGGUCAGGGAUGAGCUCGCGGCCUAUCAGCUUGUUGGUGAGGUAAUGGCUCACCAAGGCAUUGACGGGUAGCCGGCCUGAGAGGGUGACCGGCCACACUGGGACUGAGACACGGCCCAGACUCCUACGGGAGGCAGCAGUGGGGAAUAUUGGACAAUGGGCGAAAGCCUGAUCCAGCAACGCCGCGUGAGGGAUGACGGCCUUCGGGUUGUAAACCUCUUUCAGCAGGGACGAAGCGAGAGUGACGGUACCUGCAGAAGAAGGACCGGCCAACUACGUGCCAGCAGCCGCGGUAAUACGUAGGGUCCGAGCGUUGUCCGGAAUUAUUGGGCGUAAAGGGCUCGUAGGCGGUUUGUCGCGUCGGGAGUGAAAACUCAGGGCUCAACCCUGAGCGUGCUUCUGAUACGGGCAGACUAGAGGUAUUCAGGGGAGAACGGAAUUCCUGGUGUAGCGGUGGAAUGCGCAGAUAUCAGGAGGAACACCGGUGGCGAAGGCGGUUCUCUGGGAAUUACCUGACGCUGAGGAGCGAAAGCAUGGGGAGCGAACAGGAUUAGAUACCCUGGUAGUCCAUGCCGUAAACGUUGGGCGCUAGGUGUGGGGACCUUCCACGGUUUCCGUGCCGCAGCUAACGCAUUAAGCGCCCGCCUGGGGGAGUACGGCCGCAAGGCUAAAACUCAAAGGAAUUGACGGGGGCCCGCACAAGCGGCGGAGCAUGCUG
RNAcentral lists this ribosomal RNA (874 nucleotides) under Aeromicrobium sp. RNAcentral describes it as "bacterial SSU rRNA". It matches the Rfam family "Bacterial small subunit ribosomal RNA", at positions 56 to 944 of the family's 1533-position model. Lineage: Bacteria; Bacillati; Actinomycetota; Actinomycetes; Propionibacteriales; Nocardioidaceae. The record is from RNAcentral.